This is a non-coding RNA of Epinephelus lanceolatus (giant grouper), 130 nucleotides long. NCBI's taxonomy places the organism in Eukaryota, Metazoa, Chordata, Actinopteri, Perciformes, Serranidae. The record is from RefSeq and is a predicted model, not a curated record.
AUCACUUUUCUUUAAAAGUAGUGAAGAAGUAGCUCAUCCUGCACAUCACUCCUCGUUCACACAAGCUGAAUCGCUGAAGAUGAGGAUGAUUCUUCUAUUCUGCAUCCUCUGCCUGAUGACUUCUACUGGC